ACUGUAGAUUAACUCUAGUGGAGU
Molecule: non-coding RNA, 24 nt
Filed under: Arabidopsis thaliana (thale cress)
Lineage: Eukaryota; Viridiplantae; Streptophyta; Magnoliopsida; Brassicales; Brassicaceae
Source: RNAcentral